CACGUAGGGCGCAAGCGUUGUCCGGAAUUAUUGGGCGUAAAGAGCUCGUAGGCGGUCUGUUGCGUCCGCUGUGAAAACUCGGGGCUUAACCCCGAGCCUGCAGUGGAUACGGGCAGACUAGAGGUAGGUAGGGGAGAAUGGAAUUCCCGGUGUAGCGGUGAAAUGUGCAGAUAUCGGGAGGAACACCAGUAGCGAAGGCGGCCCUCUGGGCCGGUACUGACGCUGAGGAGCGAAAGCGUGGGGAGCGAACAGG
This 253-nucleotide ribosomal RNA is filed under the name uncultured bacterium. RNAcentral describes it as "partial 16S ribosomal RNA". It matches the Rfam family "Bacterial small subunit ribosomal RNA", at positions 524 to 776 of the family's 1533-position model. The record is from RNAcentral.